UACAGAGGGUGCGAGCGUUGUUCGGAAUUACUGGGCGUAAAGCGCGCGCAGGCGGCCCUUUAAGUCUACCCGUGAAAUGCCGGAGCUCAACUCCGCGCACGCCGGGGGAUACUGGGGGGCUGGAGACAUGUAGAGGCAAGCGGAAUUCCGGGUGUAGCGGUGGAAUGCGUAGAGAUCCGGAAGAACACCUGAGGCGAAGGCGGCUUGCUGGGCAGUGGCUGACACUGAGGCGCGACAGCGUGGGGAGCAAACAGG
Molecule: ribosomal RNA, 255 nt
Filed under: uncultured bacterium
Lineage: Bacteria
Description: partial 16S ribosomal RNA
Rfam family: Bacterial small subunit ribosomal RNA
Source: RNAcentral